UCUUUUAUGGAACAAGAGCGAUUCGAUUCGAUUCCCUCUCUCUCCGGUGGAGGGAGAGCAGCAUAGGUCUCCUCCAGAUUCGAAUUCGAAAGAUGAACAAUGCCGAUUCUGGUGAUCGUUAUCAAAAAUGUCAUGUAGAAACAUGCUGCGGAAAACAGGCGAACGGGCAGCGAGAACAGCUCGGUGCGCUCCGAUGCUUCCAUCAGAGGCGUUGAUGGUUAUGUCGGUGUAAAUGCUUUCUGUCAACAUACGUCCAAGGGAUGUUACCGCUGUAACUUCGGAUUGGUUCUGCGUUGAACCGUCUGCCCAGAUUGAGUAAAACUCUCCACUCUGCCAAUCCAGAACCUUGAGGUCAAGAAACUCGACGUCGAUGAUGAUUUUUCCAGUCAAGGGAACUUCAAUUGUCCAGAGGAAAUCUUCGUUUGUCUUAAUCCUCUUAUCUAUUACUUCUGCAGCAUUAAAGAAACAAUGUUUUUAAAUUCAUCUUUUGUUGUGGAACAGGAACAAAGCAAGAUCUUGUCUUUACCUGGAUGAGUAAAAGCCUUCCUCUCACCAGUAGAAGAGACAACACGAAGAACAAAGGAAGCAACAGGUGAACAAAAAGGGAAGGAGAGAGAGAAGAGAGAGGUACCAGUUCCAAAGACCCAUCUUGAAAGGAUCGGACUUGCGGUAAGUGGAGGAAGAGAGGUUGAGGAUACGCCAUUGGGCGAGCCUGGAGAUGGUGUCUACUCUGUAAGCUGAAUCAGUCAUCCUAGAGAAAGCCAGAGCUGCAGAGAUGUCAUGGAUGCAAUCCAACCAACCCUCCAGCAGAUUCUCCCCUGACUUUCCCAGGUUUGCUCUCUUCUUCUCCUCCUCCUCCUCUUCUUAUCAUAUAAUAGUAUAUGUAUAAGCAAGAGUAGAAUCAAGGAGAUAUGGGGUUUAGGGAGAUGAAUUGUUUAAUGGAUUGGAAGAAUCAUUAGCGUUUCUUGGAUUGGUAAUUCUUAGGGGGAAGCAAAGUCUGUGCUUUGCUUUUACGUCAUUUGAAAGAGAGAGAGAGAGACAGGGGAAAGAGUAAAGUGUGUUGGUUCUAUAUGACCAUAUGUUUCUUAACACUUGGCCUUAUUUCUCACCCUGGCCCACUCUUAUGGGGCGUGUGUCUGUUUUAUUGGAGUCUUUGAGUCUUCUCUUCCAACUAAUUUCAGACUUUAGGUUUAUAGACACUUCCAACAUUUCUUGGGUUGGAUAUGGUUUGUACAAUUACAUAACUACCCCGAUGAACUAUUUUUAAAAUGACCUGAUGUUAAACAUA
Molecule: long non-coding RNA, 1288 nt
Organism: Brassica rapa (field mustard)
Lineage: Eukaryota; Viridiplantae; Streptophyta; Magnoliopsida; Brassicales; Brassicaceae
Source: RefSeq, a predicted model, not a curated record